AGUGAACGCUGGUGGCGUGCCUAAUACAUGCAAGUCGAACGAAGUGGCGCACGGGUGAGUAAUAUAUAGUUAAUCUGCCCUACACAGAGGAACAACAGUUGGAAACGACUGCCAAUACAUCAUAGUGUAGGAUGAGACUAUAUCGUAUCAGCUAGUUGGUAAGGUAAUGGCUUACCAAGGCUAUGACGCGUAACUGGUCUGAGAGGAUGAUCAGUAAGAUUGAAACUGAGACACGGUCCAAACUCCUACGGGAGGCAGCAGUAAGGAACAUUGCGCAAUGGAGGAAACACUGACGAAGCAACGCCGCAAGGAGGAUGACACUUAUCGGAGCGUAAACUCCUUGUAUCAGGAAAGCGGUACCUGAUGAAUAAGCACCUGCUAACUCCGUGCCAGCAGCCGCGGGAAUUC
This 408-nucleotide ribosomal RNA is filed under the name uncultured bacterium. RNAcentral describes it as "partial 16S ribosomal RNA". It matches the Rfam family "Bacterial small subunit ribosomal RNA", at positions 29 to 526 of the family's 1533-position model. The record is from RNAcentral.